GACAGAGGGUGCAAACGUUGUUCGGAAUUACUGGGCGUAAAGCGUGUGUAGGCGGCAGUGCAAGUCGGAUGUGAAAUCCCCGGGCUCAACCCGGGAAGGGCACCCGAAACUGCACCGCUAGAGUACCGGAGAGGUUGGUGGAAUUCUCGGUGUAGAGGUGAAAUUCGUAGAUAUCGAGAGGAACACCUGUGGCGAAGGCGGCCAACUGGACGAGUACUGACGCUGAGACACGAAAGCGUGGGGAGCAAACAGG
This 253-nucleotide ribosomal RNA is filed under the name uncultured Phaselicystis sp. RNAcentral describes it as "partial 16S ribosomal RNA". It matches the Rfam family "Bacterial small subunit ribosomal RNA", at positions 524 to 776 of the family's 1533-position model. Lineage: Bacteria; Pseudomonadati; Myxococcota; Polyangiales; Phaselicystidaceae. The record is from RNAcentral.